Long non-coding RNA from Nilaparvata lugens (brown planthopper), 377 nucleotides. RefSeq lists it as uncharacterized. The transcript is spliced from 2 exons. NCBI's taxonomy places the organism in Eukaryota, Metazoa, Arthropoda, Insecta, Hemiptera, Delphacidae. The record is from RefSeq and is a predicted model, not a curated record.
CAUGGAUGACGUCCUCGGCUUGGCUGGUGAUGUCGUCCGGUCCCUCUCGGCGUUCGGCGGCGUGCGGUGCAACUUCAGUCUUGAUAUUCUCGGAUGAUGUUUGCCCAAUAUAGCGGGAUGAGUGUGUGGUCUUCGGUCAGCGGUGGGGAUUCUGUAGUGUGAAGUACAGACGUCUGGACCUCUGGGACGGCGGUGCAUGGGCGUUUCUCCUGCGCGACGUCUUCCGUCCUUGAAGUCUCCGAUGUGGGCUCCAGGAUGCGAUGUGGUUCUUCCAUAAUUUAUCGGAUGAUAUAAAGAUGCAAGUGUGUUGAAACGACCGCAAACAUGUGGGGUUAUGUGAAAUGAUUAUAAGUGAAUGAUCAAAAAUUGAAAUAGUG